AUUCCCUACGGGAGGCAGCAGUGGGGAAUAUUGCACAAUGGGGGAAACCCUGAUGCAGCAACGCCGCGUGAGUGAAGAAGUCAUUCGUGAUGUAAAGCUCUAUCAGCAGGGAAGAGAAUGACGGUACCUGACCAAGAAGCCCCGGCUAAAUACGUGCCAGCAGCCGCGGUAAUACGUAUGGGGCAAGCGUUAUCCGGAUUUACUGGGUGUAAAGGGAGCGUAGGCGGCAGGGCAAGCCUGAUGUGAAAGCCCGGGGCUCAACCCCGGGACUGCAUUGGGAACUGCCCCGCUCGAGUGCCGGAGGG
Molecule: ribosomal RNA, 305 nt
Filed under: uncultured bacterium
Lineage: Bacteria
Description: bacterial SSU rRNA
Rfam family: Bacterial small subunit ribosomal RNA
Source: RNAcentral